UGGGGAAUUUUGGACAAUGGGCGCAAGCCUGAUCCAGCAAUGCCGCGUGCAGGAUGAAGGCCUUCGGGUUGUAAACUGCUUUUGUACGGAGCGAAAAGGUCUGCCCUAAUACGGUGGGCUCAUGACGGUACCGUAAGAAUAAGCACCGGCUAACUACGUGCCAGCAGCCGCGGUAAUACGUAGGGUGCGAGCGUUAAUCGGAAUUACUGGGCGUAAAGCGUGCGCAGGCGGUUAUGCAAGACAGAGGUGAAAUCCCCGGGCUCAACCUGGGAACUGCCUUUGUGACUGUAUAGCUAGAGUACGGUAGAGGGGGAUGGAAUUCCGCGUGUAGCAGUGAAAUGCGUAGAUAUGCGGAGGAACACCGAUGGCGAAGGAAAUCCCCUAGACCUGUACUGACGCUCAUGCACGAAAGCGUGGGGAGCAAACA
RNAcentral lists this ribosomal RNA (427 nucleotides) under uncultured bacterium. RNAcentral describes it as "bacterial SSU rRNA". It matches the Rfam family "Bacterial small subunit ribosomal RNA", at positions 355 to 774 of the family's 1533-position model. The record is from RNAcentral.